UACGGGGGGAGCAAGCGUUGUUCGGAUUUACUGGGCGUAAAGGGCGCGUAGGCGGUCCUACAAGUCCCGCGUGAAAGCCCCCGGCUCAACUGGGGAACUGCGCGGGAAACUGUAGGGCUUGAGUUCGGGAGAGGGAAGCGGAAUUCCGGGUGUAGCGGUGAAAUGCGUAGAUAUCCGGAGGAACACCGGUGGCGAAGGCGGCUUCCUGGACCGACACUGACGCUGAGGCGCGAAAGCUAGGGGAGCAAACGGG
Molecule: ribosomal RNA, 253 nt
Filed under: uncultured bacterium
Lineage: Bacteria
Description: partial 16S ribosomal RNA
Rfam family: Bacterial small subunit ribosomal RNA
Source: RNAcentral